This 7239-nucleotide long non-coding RNA is filed under the name Sus scrofa (pig). RNAcentral's name for it is "lncRNA (ENSSSCG00040020353.1)". Lineage: Eukaryota; Metazoa; Chordata; Mammalia; Artiodactyla; Suidae. The record is from RNAcentral.
GGCCGCGGCAGCAGCGGCCUCUGUUCUCAGAGGCGCGCUUCGCUGAGCGGAGCGGGGGCCCAGCCCACGCGCCCUCAGAGGCGAGUGAGGACGUCGCGGUCCCCGCAAAGAGGAGGCUGUCCGUGCGGCCGACCUUCCCGCAGCUCGGAGAGAAGCCACACAGCAAUGCUGAUGAAGACUGCCAUUACUGAGCGAUUACUGAGUGCCUAGAGUUUAUCUUCUCUAUACUUUACAAGAACCAUGUGUGGAAGAAGCUGCUUUUUGGAGAUGAGGAAUCUGAGGCUUAGAGUGUGCGGCAGGUAAAAUAAUGGCCCCCAAAGACAGCCCCGUUCAAAUCCCUGGAACCAGCGAAUAUAUUGCCUUACACUGCAGAAGAGAUUCUGCAGGUGAGUUAAAGGUUAAGACCUUGAGAUGAGAUUAUUCAGAGUCACCUGGCUGGGCCCACGCUAAUCACUGAGUCCUUAAAAGUGGAACCUGUUCUGGCUGGGUUAGAGAGUGGCACACCUGUCGAAGCAGGGUCAGAGAGACGGCAGUGUGAGAAGGACUCAAUACUCUGUUGCUGAGCUGUGGGUACCAGCCACAGACCGGCAAGAGUACUCUAGGAGCUCAGUUCAGCCCUCAGCUAACAGCCGGCAAGGAAACAGAGCCCUCAGUCCUAUAGCCCCGUGGAACUGAAGUCUGCCAACAGCUGAAGGAGCGAGCGAGGGGAUUCCGUCCUGACCCUGCAAGAAGGACCCCAGCGCUGCCAGCACAUCAGUUUCAGCCCAGUGAGACGCACGCCAGACUUCUGACUUACCAAACUGUAAGAUAACAGAUUUGCGUUGUUUUACACCUCUAAAAUUGUGGUAAUUUUUCUUAUGGUGGCAGCAAAAGAAAACAAAUAUAGGCCACCAUGACCAGAAAGUUUUAGUGAAAUGGGAGCUCAAACUCAGGUGGUCUGACUCCAGCAUCUGGGUACAGCGAGGUCAUUACUUAUUUAGCCAGCACAUUUUAAAAAAUUUUUUUAUUACUCAAAUGAAUGUAUCCCAUCUGUAGUUGUAUAAUGAUCAUCACAAUCUGACUUCCCAGGAUGUCCAUCCCACGGCCCAGGCACAUCCCCCCACCCCCCAAACUGUCUCCUCCGGAGACCAUGAGUGUUUCAAUGUCUGUGAGUCAGCAUCUGUUCUGCAAAGAAGUCCCGUCUGUCCUUUUUUCAACCAGCACAUAUUGAUGAGCAUUUGGAUUCUCAAUGUAUAGUAUUUCAGACAAUGGGACCAUAGAUUUCUGUAUUUUCAAACACUUUAGUUAGAAUUUACACAGGAAAAUUCGCUACAACUGAAAUUACUGGGGGGGGAGGAUAAUCACAUUAAAUAUUUUUAUAAAUGCUGCCAAAUUGCCUUGCAAAUGUUCCCAGUGACACCCUUAGUCUAAAGCAGAAAUCAGCAGGAAAAGAACGAACACAAAGUAUGGCUGGAUCUGGCUCAUCGGUGACCAUUUCAGCAAGCCAAGAACUGAAAUGACCAAGAACUGAAACGACCUUUCCCCUUCGUUUCAACUGCACACCUUGCGGAAGUCUGCUCCAGAAGAAUCUCCUGGCUGUCUUCUCUCCGCGUGUCAUGGACAAGUGCGUUUUGUGCUUUACCUCUGGGUCUUGCUUUUUGCCCUUUGAGGCAAGAAUGACUGGCAAAGAUAAACAGCCUUUUCAGUAAGGAUCCCUUGUGCUACCCAUCCAUUCUAAAAUACUCUGCUACCUCAACCGAGGCUAGAUUUUCCCAUGAGUAUAAAAUACGAAGAGCAUCUCGGUAAUUUUGAAUGAUAGGCUUUGCCGCAGCACCUGGAAUCCAGCUUAUGGAAGAAAUCACAUGCGAAGGAAGUUAGCAGGGCAGCCAGCUCAGGUGCACUGGCUCUGGGACUGGCUGGCGUUUCCGGGCGUCACCAAAGCAGCCCCAUGAGAUCCAAUGGCCAAGGCCUCACCUGACAGCCAAACACCCUCUUCACAUAGGGGAUCCCAGGCUCGGAAGGACAAGGCGUCUUUCUUGCUGGAAGCAACUUUUGUUUUCUUUGGGCACCUUAACCCCACCUUUCGGUCUAGAAAGUGAGCUCCUUCACUCCCGGCUUACGCCAGUGCGCUUGUGGGCUUGUAGAUCUGAUGACAACCUUUCUUUUUGCCCAGGAUCUUUCUUUCGUUCUAGAACUUCUUUUUCUCUUACUGUAUUGCCUCAGACAUUUGGUUUUCUCUUUAUGCUGUGAUUUUCCCACGUUUAUAGUUAAACUUUUUUUCGGCUUUUGCUUUUUAGGGCUGCACCCACAGCAUAUGGAAGCUCCCAGGCUUGGGGUCAAAUUGGAGCUGUAGCUCUAUAGCCUACACCACAGCCACAGCAACGCCAGAUCCUUAACCCACUGAGGGAGGCCAGGAAUUGGUCCUGCAUCCUCAUGGGUACUGGUCAGGUGCUUAACUCGCUGAGCCACAACGGGAACUCCGAAAGCUUUUGACUCAAUUGUUCUGCUUGGUUUUUCUCUUUUGCCUAACUGCUAGAUCCUGGGACAUAGUUUUCAUUUUUGUUUUGUCUUUCGGGUUUGGGUUUUGUUGCUGUUGAUGUUAGAGUAUAGUUGGUUUACGGAGUUUUGCCAAUAUCUGCUAUACAGCAUGUGCUAUACCUCGAGUCAUACUAUGUAUACAUUCCUUUUCUCACGCUGUCUUCCAUCCUGUUCUAUCCCAAGAGAGUGGAUAAAGUUCUCUGUGCUGUAUGGUAGGACCUCACUGCUGGUCCAUAUUCUAACGCAGUAGUUAUAGCAUCCACGAUCCCAGGGCAGUGCCGAGGUCCUCGGGGCCAUCCCGUGAGGUUGGUGACUCCAUUAUCCCCAUUCCGCAGAUGAGAAAGUCGAGGCUUUAAGAAGUGAGACAACCUGAUCAAGGCUACAUAGCAGUAAAGGAUAGAGCUGAGACUGGAACAAAGCUUGUUUGACCAGUCCGUACUCUUAACCUCAACACCACGCUGUUUCAAAAUCCCUCGUAAGCCGUAUGCUUCCAAGAACAUUUUGAACAGAAAACAUUCAGACUCAGAGCCACUUAGCUGUGAUGUGGCAGAAGGAACCCUGGGUCGGAGUCAAAGGAGGGCCUCUUAACCGUGUCCUUGACUGCUGAGCGAGUCCUCUGCAAGCUGGCUCCCCAGCCCGCUCGGGCUCUUCCCUCCCAUCUGUGACAGUGCCUGUCUGCUGGCAUUCCGGACGAAUUUUUGAUUUCCUCUUCCUUAAUUUUUCCUAAACUAAGAGAAAUGCCCUCUGCCACGCCCACAUCAUGUGUGGCAGUUAAAGCUGGUAUCAAAUGAGUCAGUUGGCACAGGGCUACUUGUCGUGAAAGAAGCAGCAGCAGUGAUUAAAUGCACCCCUCCUCCCCCUGGCAGAAAGCAAGUGGAGCAUAAUGACUCAAGGGCAAAGCGAGGAAAGCCCUUGGCAGCUGCGCCGUGAUAUACUCUUCUGUCUCGAAUUUUCCCUGUGUAUGUUCACCUCCCCUCACCAUGCUGCUCGUGGUUCGUCCUCAUCUCCAGUGUAUUUAUGCCAUUGUCCCGCAAUAACGGCCCCCAGCUGUCUUUGUCCAGUCGGAGGGGAGACCCAGGCCUCGAGAAGACUUGCUGACGGUCUCAAGCAGGUAUCUCAUUCGGUCACAUAGCUUUUCACCAUCUCAUGUGUCUUUGACUGAACGGUGUUCACCCCAAACUCAUAUAUUGAAGUUGUACCACUGAUCCCUUAGCAUGUUACUGUCUUCGGAGACAGGACUUUGAAAGAGGAAACUAAGGAAAACGGGGUGCCAUGCAAGGGCCCUGAGGCCACGUGACCGGGGCCCUUCCAAGAGGAGGCGAUCCGGACAGAAACACGAAGGGACGGAGGGAAGGCGGCCCUCAGCAGCCGAGGCGAGAGGCAUCAGAGGAAAACAAACCUGUUACCACGCUGAUCUUGGUCCCAGAUCCCACUGGAGAAAAUGAACCUCUGCUGCUUAGGAGAGCUGUGAGGAAGUACCCGUCUGUUGAUCAAGCCACCCAGCGUUUGGUAUUUCAUCAUGGCAGCCUGAACAAAUUAAUGCAUCCUUUCUUUCUCUUUUUCCUUUCUAGGGCCGCCCCCGCGGCGUAUGGAGGUUCCCGGGCUAGAGGUCGAAUUGGAGCUACAGCUGCCGGCCCGCACCACAGCCACAGCCACUCGGGAUCCGAGCUGCGUCUGCGACCUACACCAGAGCUCACGGCAACUCCGGAUCCUUAACCCACUGAGCGAGGCCAGGGAUCAGGCCCACGUCCUCGUGGGGCUUAGUUGGGUUCAUUCCCGCUGAGCCACAGGGGGAAAUCCAGUCCUCAUGUGCUAAAUCCAGGGUUGGUUUUAGUCUUUUUUCUGUUACUUCCCAGAAGAGCUUUAGCUUCAUUUUUAAUUUUCUUUCCUCAUUUGCUUGAGCGAGAUAUUUUUUGCCCCAGUAGGUCAUACUCAGGUAUAUAAGCCUUCAUCCACGCACUGGAGCACAGAGACUUCAGAGCUGUUGCAGGGUUUGAGGAGCACCCAGGGUUAGUGACUCUUAUCUGGUGCUCUGAACACAGCUUACGUUUCUGCACCUGUGCAAAAUCCUUGUCUCGUCACUGCUUCACCUACGUGUGUCCGUUCUCAGGUAUAUUAGCUCCUUUUACAGUUAAUAAAAUAAGCCGCUAACCACACACAGCUGAUUUCUCCCCUUUACCAAUACCCCAUGGAUUCCUCUGCUUUUUCUUACCGUCUGUCCUGAUAAAAUGGCAGCAGCAGCACCAUUCACCCAGCUUCGUGUUCUCCAGCUAGGAAAUGAGGGCGUCAUCCUGUUUGGUUUCUCUUCUUUGGCCGCCCACGGCACGUGGAGUUCCCGGGCCAGGGAUCAGGCCCCAGCUGCAGUUGUGACCAACACUGCAGCUGUGGCAGUGCAGGAUCCUUGACCCGCUGUGUCGGGCUGGGGAUUGAACCUGCGCCCCAGUGCUGCAGAGACACCGCUGACCCCAUUGUGCCACAGCGGGAACUCCAGGGAGUCACUCUUGAUCUUUCUUUUCCUUGCUCAUUUAUCCAACUCAUUACCCACUUCUGUUCAUUCUUCCUUUAACACAUAUAACAGGGAAAGAUUUGUAAUAUUAAACUGUAGUAUUAACUCUGAAUUGCAAAUAUCAAUAUGGACUAAUGUAUUAAAAAGUAUGUGUGUGUCAGGAGUUCCCUGGCGGCAUAGCAGUUAAGGAUCCAGCAUUGCCACUGCUGUGGCUUGGAUUUGACCCCUGGCCUGAAAACUUCUGCACGUUGAGGGCACAGCCAAAGAAAGUGUGUGUGUGUGUGUGUGUCUGUCUGUCUGUCUAUCUGUCUGUCUGUCUACCUGUCUGUCUGUCUGUCUGUCUGACUAUCUGUCUGUCUGUCUGCCCAGCACUGCCACUAAUAGAACUUAGAAGCAGUGGCGUGUCCUUAGCAACAAGCCCGUGUGUCUGUCUGUCUGUCUGUCUGUCUGCCCAGCCCUGCCACUAAUAGAACUUAAAAGCAGUGGCGUGUCCUUAGCAACAAGCCCAUCCGGCAUCCAGAUUUUGAUUUCUACGCAUCAUUACCACCAAAAGAGUAACAGUCUUUGGAGAAAUAGCUGAUUCUAGUUGUUGAGCAGUGAAACUGCAGGUGAGCUGGGGCCCUCCCGUGGCGGACACCAAAGACGUGCUCAGUGCUUUACGGGGCAUGUUCAACGGACCCAAGAGCUCCUUUAAAGUGGUCCCACUAGAGCAGGUUUUGGAUACUUUGAAGUGUAAUUGAUUAUAAAACACCGAAUACAUAAAAUCUAUUAGUCUAUAAUAAUACUCAAAAAGUGAAGGAAAGGAGGAAAAAAAUUGACUAUUAGAGAUGACUACUCAAUAAAUCCUUACUCUAAAAUCGGUAGUAAAAGGGAAAGAACUGAACAUUUAUCUACUUUUUUAUGAGGGAUUGUCUGUCCUCCUCCUUAAUGAGGGAAACUCUUCCUUAGAAAAGGAUGACCAGGAGUUCCCGCUGAGGUGCAACGGGAUUGGUGGAGUCGCUGAGGCGCUGGGACGCAGGUUCCGUCCUCCACCCAGCGCAGAGAGUUAAGGAUCUGGCAUUGCCUCAUUCGAGGCUUAGAUUGCAACUGCAGCUCGGAUCUGGCCCCUGGCCCGGGAACUCCAUAUGCUGUGCACCCCCGCCCCCAAAAAAAGACCAAAAAAGGAACGGUGUGAGAUGAACUAUUUUGCAACUGCCAGUGAAAUAACUGCUUAAGGCAGAGACCAUCAGAGGCGAAAGGUCACUGCAGAACAGGAUGGUCUUGCAGUGACAAGGCGUCACCACACACGGUACUUGUUCGCUGUGAUGGGCAGAAGGGAGGGACGGGGACAUCAGCCUGAAGGCGCUGACAACGCGGAAUAAUCUUGUUAUUGUUGCUAUUAAGGAUGAGGAUUAUUUCGGGGACAAUGAGGUGGUUGACCGUCCUCCAGCUUCCUGGGGUGGCCAUGGCUCCCUGCUGGACAGCACGGGGAAGGGCGUGGGUCUGGGUCACUCUGCUGUACAAGAGAAUGUGGCCAACAUUCAACCGCACUUUAAUUUUAAAAAAAGCAACAGCUUCCCAGACGCCUCCCUGGAGAUUCUAAUGUUCACGCGGAAUGGGGACGGGCUACAGGUAUUUAUAUUUUGAAGGAGCUCAUUUGUGUCCUCAGGCCACUGGGACACACCGGCCUUAUCCUUCUAAGCUGGGAUUUGGGGUCAGACGGAUUAGGAUUCGGGGCUGGGCUCUGGAGGUGCGUAGCUGUGUGAAACCUUAGGCGACGCCCCUGUCCACAGCGUGAUUCGUAUCCAGAAACAGGGAUGACAGCUGCUGGCACAGGGCUGUUCUGGGGAAUUGAGUGAUUCCUGGAGAACUACUACCGUGCCUGGAAUAGUCUAGGUUCUCAGCAAAUAUUGAAAACCAUGAUUCGAUUUCCCCGUCAUUCGCUUGGUUGUGUUACUCUGAUUCAAGGUCUCGGUGCUGGUGUCUUUGGUUUUUCGGCAACACGGGUGAGUCAGGGCAGGUGACACGUGAGCUCUAACCCCAGCCGAAGACUCUCCUCUGCCAACUUUUCGCUGCCUCAACAAGGUAUCUCUUUCAUUUAUUCUUUUUGGUUCCACCUGUCACCUCCCUUAAAUUAUAAAAAGGCCUUCCAUGAAUCUCUUUGUUCUACAGCAGAAGUUAUCACAACAUUGUAUAUCAGCUAUACUUCAAUAAAACUUUUUUAAAAAUUAAAAAAA